AAAGAAAUUGACGGGGACCCGCACAAGCGGUGGAGUAUGUGGCUUAAUUCGAUGCAACGCGAAGAACCUUACCUGGCAUUGACAUGCAUCUCUAAUCCGGUGAAAGCCGGUGAGUGUAGCAAUACACAAUUUGCACAGGUGCUGCAUGGCUGUCGUCAGCUCGUGUCGUGAGAUGUUGGUUUAAGUCCCGCAACGAGCGCAACCCCUGUGAACUGUUGCCAUGGAGACGUGAGUCUCCGGCACUCUGUUCAGACUGCCCUGUUCAACGGGGAGAAAGGUGGGAACGACGUCAAGUCAGUAU
Molecule: ribosomal RNA, 301 nt
Filed under: uncultured Verrucomicrobium sp.
Lineage: Bacteria; Pseudomonadati; Verrucomicrobiota; Verrucomicrobiia; Verrucomicrobiales; Verrucomicrobiaceae
Description: bacterial SSU rRNA
Rfam family: Bacterial small subunit ribosomal RNA
Source: RNAcentral